UUAAGCGACUAAGCGUACACGGUGGAUGCCCUGGCAGUCAGAGGCGAUGAAGGACGUGCUAAUCUGCGAAAAGCGUCGGUAAGGUGAUAUGAACCGUUAUAACCGGCGAUGUCCGAAUGGGGAAACCCAGUGCAAUUCGUUGCACUAUCGUUAACUGAAUACAUAGGUUAACGAGGCGAACCGGGGGAACUGAAACAUCUAAGUACCCCGAGGAAAAGAAAUCAACCGAGAUUCCCCCAGUAGCGGCGAGCGAACGGGGAGCAGCCCAGAGUCUGAAUCAGCUUGUGUGUUAGUGGAACGGUCUGGAAAGUCCGACGGUACAGGGUGAUAGUCCCGUACACCAAAAUGCACAGGUUGUGAACUCGAAGAGUAGGGCGGGACACGUGGUAUCCUGUCUGAAUAUGGGGGGACCAUCCUCCAAGGCUAAAUACUCCUGACUGACCGAUAGUGAACCAGUACCGUGAGGGAAAGGCGAAAAGAACCCCGGCGAGGGGAGUGAAAAAGAACCUGAAACCGUGUACGUACAAGCAGUGGGAGCACCUUCGGGUGUGACUGCGUACCUUUUGUAUAAUGGGUCAGCGACUUAUAUUCUGUAGCAAGGUUAACCGUAUAGGGGAGCCGCAGGGAAACCGAGUCUUAACUGGGCGUUAAGUUGCAGGGUAUAGACCCGAAACCCGGUGAUCUAGCCAUGGGCAGGUUGAAGGUUGGGUAACACUAACUGGAGGACCGAACCGACUAAUGUUGAAAAAUUAGCGGAUGACUUGUGGCUGGGGGUGAAAGGCCAAUCAAACCGGGAGAUAGCUGGUUCUCCCCGAAAGCUAUUUAGGUAGCGCCUCGUGAAUUCAUCUUCGGGGGUAGAGCACUGUUUCGGCUAGGGGGUCAUCCCGACUUACCAACCCGAUGCAAACUACGAAUACCGAAGAAUGUUAUCACGGGAGACACACGGCGGGUGCUAACGUCCGUCGUGAAGAGGGAAACAACCCAGACCGCCAGCUAAGGUCCCAAAGUCAUGGUUAAGUGGGAAACGAUGUGGGAAGGCACAGACAGCCAGGAUGUUGGCUUAGAAGCAGCCAUCAUUUAAAGAAAGCGUAAUAGCUCACUGGUCGAGUCGGCCUGCGCGGAAGAUGUAACGGGGCUAAACCAUGCACCGAAGCUGCGGCAGCGACACUAUGUGUUGUUGGGUAGGGGAGCGUUCUGUAAGCCUGCGAAGGUGGCCUGUGAGGGUUGCUGGAGGUAUCAGAAGUGCGAAUGCUGACAUAAGUAACGAUAAAGCGGGUGAAAAGCCCGCUCGCCGGAAGACCAAGGGUUCCUGUCCAACGUUAAUCGGGGCAGGGUGAGUCGACCCCUAAGGCGAGGCCGAAAGGCGUAGUCGAUGGGAAACAGGUUAAUAUUCCUGUACUUGGUGUUACUGCGAAGGGGGGACGGAGAAGGCUAUGUUAGCCGGGCGACGGUUGUCCCGGUUUAAGCAUGUAGGCUGGUUAUCCAGGCAAAUCCGGAUAAUCAAGGCUGAGGUGUGAUGACGAGGCACUACGGUGCUGAAGUAACAAAUGCCCUGCUUCCAGGAAAAGCCUCUAAGCAUCAGGUAACAUUAAAUCGUACCCCAAACCGACACAGGUGGUCAGGUAGAGAAUACCAAGGCGCUUGAGAGAACUCGGGUGAAGGAACUAGGCAAAAUGGUGCCGUAACUUCGGGAGAAGGCACGCUGGUGUGUAGGUGAAGUCCCUGCGGAUGGAGCUGAGACCAGUCGAAGAUACCAGCUGGCUGCAACUGUUUAUUAAAAACACAGCACUGUGCAAACACGAAAGUGGACGUAUACGGUGUGACGCCUGCCCGGUGCCGGAAGGUUAAUUGAUGGGGUUAUCCGUAAGGAGAAGCUCUUGAUCGAAGCCCCGGUAAACGGCGGCCGUAACUAUAACGGUCCUAAGGUAGCGAAAUUCCUUGUCGGGUAAGUUCCGACCUGCACGAAUGGCGUAAUGAUGGCCAGGCUGUCUCCACCCGAGACUCAGUGAAAUUGAACUCGCUGUGAAGAUGCAGUGUACCCGCGGCAAGACGGAAAGACCCCGUGAACCUUUACUAUAGCUUGACACUGAACAUUGAGCCUUGAUGUGUAGGAUAGGUGGGAGGCUUUGAAGCGUGGACGCCAGUCUGCGUGGAGCCAACCUUGAAAUACCACCCUUUAAUGUUUGAUGUUCUAACGUUGGCCCCUGACCGGGGUUGCGGACAGUGUCUGGUGGGUAGUUUGACUGGGGCGGUCUCCUCCCAAAGCGUAACGGAGGAGCACGAAGGUUAGCUAAUCCUGGUCGGACAUCAGGAGGUUAGUGCAAUGGCAUAAGCUAGCUUGACUGCGAGCGUGACGGCGCGAGCAGGUGCGAAAGCAGGUCAUAGUGAUCCGGUGGUUCUGAAUGGAAGGGCCAUCGCUCAACGGAUAAAAGGUACUCCGGGGAUAACAGGCUGAUACCGCCCAAGAGUUCAUAUCGACGGCGGUGUUUGGCACCUCGAUGUCGGCUCAUCACAUCCUGGGGCUGAAGUAGGUCCCAAGGGUAUGGCUGUUCGCCAUUUAAAGUGGUACGCGAGCUGGGUUUAGAACGUCGUGAGACAGUUCGGUCCCUAUCUGCCGUGGGCGCUGGAGAAUUGAGGGGGGCUGCUCCUAGUACGAGAGGACCGGAGUGGACGCAUCACUGGUGUUCGGGUUGUCAUGCCAAUGGCACUGCCCGGUAGCUAAAUGCGGAAGAGAUAAGUGCUGAAAGCAUCUAAGCACGAAACUUGCCCCGAGAUGAGUUCUCCCUGAGACUUUAAGUCUCCUGAAGGAACGUUGAAGACGACGACGUUGAUAGGCCGGGUGUGUAAGCGCAGCGAUGCGUUGAGCUAACCGGUACUAAUGAACCGUGAGGCUUAACCUU
RNAcentral lists this ribosomal RNA (2900 nucleotides) under Klebsiella pneumoniae. Its description in RNAcentral is "bacterial LSU rRNA". It matches the Rfam family "Bacterial large subunit ribosomal RNA". Lineage: Bacteria; Pseudomonadati; Pseudomonadota; Gammaproteobacteria; Enterobacterales; Enterobacteriaceae. The record is from RNAcentral.